CCCUUAGAUGUUCUGGGCCGCACGCGUAUUACAAUGGCGUUUUCACUUGGCAUUCAAUGCCUGUAAAAGGGCAUGGUAUCUCAUGAAAAAACGUCAAAAUCGGGAUUGGCUUUUGGAAUUAUUGGCCUUGAACGAGGAAUUCCUUGUAAUUGCAAAUCAUCAGUUUGCGAUGAAUACGUCCCUGCCCUUUGUACACACCGCCCGUCGCUCCUACCGAUCGAAGAGUUAGGUGAAUUGUUUUGAUCGAUAAGAUUUGACUAUGGUCAACUCUCGUUGUGAAAUUCUGUGAAUCUGACUGUUUAGAGGAAGGAAAAGUCGUAACA
This 323-nucleotide ribosomal RNA is filed under the name uncultured eukaryote. Its description in RNAcentral is "partial 18S ribosomal RNA". It matches the Rfam family "Eukaryotic small subunit ribosomal RNA", at positions 1470 to 1796 of the family's 1831-position model. The record is from RNAcentral.